RNAcentral lists this transfer RNA (77 nucleotides) under Oscillospiraceae bacterium. RNAcentral describes it as "tRNA-Val". It matches the Rfam family "tRNA". From Rfam's summary of the family: Transfer RNA (tRNA) molecules are approximately 80 nucleotides in length. Their secondary structure includes four short double-helical elements and three loops (D, anti-codon, and T loops). The record is from RNAcentral. Lineage: Bacteria; Bacillati; Bacillota; Clostridia; Eubacteriales; Oscillospiraceae. RNAcentral also lists the same sequence under 1 other name.
GGGAGCUUAGCUCAGCUGGUUAGAGCGCCUGCUUCACACGCAGGAGGUCGCAGGUUCGAGUCCUGUAGCGCCCACCA